Long non-coding RNA from Bos taurus (domestic cattle), 605 nucleotides. The record is from Ensembl. Lineage: Eukaryota; Metazoa; Chordata; Mammalia; Artiodactyla; Bovidae.
AGUCUCACAAAUGCCCUGCCUGGCUCUGGAGAAGAAAGCACAUCUCCCCCACCCCUCAUUCCCCUCCUGCCCCGCCUCUAGGGGCAGAGUCUUCCAUACACCCUGGUUUGAGGUUAGACUGACUCGUCUCCAGGCGCUGUGCCUGCCCGAGGCACGGAAACCGCUCCGCACACCUACCACUGUUCUUUUAUGAGAGGGGAUUGAUUUCCCUGCGAGGUUAUUUUUUCCAGAGGAUUGCAGAGAGGUAGGAGAGCCUACGGAGAAGGCAAUGGCACCCCACUCCAGUACUCUUGCCUGGAAAAUCCCAUGGAUGGAGGAGCCUGGUGGGCUGCAGUCCAUGGGGUCACUAGGAGUCGGGCACGACUGAGUGAUUUUACUUUCACUUUUCACUUUCAUGCAUUGGAAAAGGAAAUGGCAACCCACUCCAGUAUUCUUGCCCGGAGAAUCCCAGGGACAGAGGAGCCUAGUGGGCUGCUGUCUAUGGGGUUGCACAGAGUUGGACAUGACUGAAGCCACUUAGCAGCAGCAGCAGGAGAGCCUAUUUCUAAUAUUCUGGGAAUUGUUCAAAACAAAGAUAGUCUAUGCAUGUAUUAGUUAACUUUGGC